GCUGGGUGUGUUGGCAUGCACCUGUAAUCCUAGCUACUUGGGAGGCUGAGGUGGGAGGAUCACUUGAGCCCAGGAGUUCAAGUGAGCUAUGAUCAUGCCACUGCACUCUGCCUGGGCAACAGAAUGAGACUCUGUCUCUU
This 140-nucleotide small RNA is filed under the name Pongo abelii (Sumatran orangutan). Its description in RNAcentral is "Metazoan signal recognition particle RNA (ENSPPYG00000039321.1)". Lineage: Eukaryota; Metazoa; Chordata; Mammalia; Primates; Hominidae. The record is from Rfam by way of RNAcentral.